GCUGGGCAUGGUGGUGCAUGCCUGUAGUCCCAGCUACUAGGGAGGCUGAGAAAGGAGGAUCACUUGAGCCCAGGAGAUUGAGGCCUCAGUGAGCUGUGAUUGCACCACUGCACUCCAGCCUAGGCAACAGAGUGAGAUCCAGUCUCAA
Non-coding RNA from Gorilla gorilla gorilla (western lowland gorilla), 148 nucleotides. It matches the Rfam family "Metazoan signal recognition particle RNA". Rfam says of the family: The signal recognition particle (SRP) is a universally conserved ribonucleoprotein. It is involved in the co-translational targeting of proteins to membranes. The record is from Rfam. Lineage: Eukaryota; Metazoa; Chordata; Mammalia; Primates; Hominidae.